CUCCCGAAGGUUAGCGGCGGAACGGGUGAGUAACACCGUGGGCAACCUGCCUAUAAGACUGGGAUAACUUCGGGAAACCGGAGCUAAUACCGGAUAAUCCUUUUCCUCUCAUGAGGGAAAGCUGAAAGACGGUCUCGGCUGUCACUUAUAGAUGGGCCCGCGGCGCAUUAGCUAGUUGGUGAGGUAACGGCUCACCAAGGCGACGAUGCGUAGCCGACCUGAGAGGGUGAUCGGCCACACUGGGACUGAGACACGGCCCAGACUCCUACGGGAGGCAGCAGUAGGGAAUCUUCCGCAAUGGACGAAAGUCUGACGGAGCAACGCCGCGUGAACGAUGAAGGCUUUCGGGUCGUAAAGUUCUGUUGUUAGGGAAGAACAAGUAUCGGAGUAACUUCCGGUACCUUGACGGUACCUAACCAGAAAGCCACGG
This 430-nucleotide ribosomal RNA is filed under the name Bacillaceae bacterium CL2.147. Its description in RNAcentral is "bacterial SSU rRNA". It matches the Rfam family "Bacterial small subunit ribosomal RNA", at positions 82 to 496 of the family's 1533-position model. The record is from RNAcentral. Lineage: Bacteria; Bacillati; Bacillota; Bacilli; Caryophanales; Bacillaceae.